GCCUCGUGAUGGGUUUUAUCUUUUUAAAAUUGCAAGCAUGAUUGCUGCUAAAGUUGUAAUGUUUCUUCCUCGAAAUGUUAAUUUGGCCCAAUUGGUGGAGCUUUCUCUGUUAGCUGAUCCUCCAUGGAACCUGGAGGUCGAGAAUAAUUAUUUAAAUGGAAAGCUGAAAUCAAUCACGGCUUACUUCGAUAAGACUACUACAGAUUAAGGUUUCAUUUGGGUAGGAUUUUUUACUGCUUUUAAAGUAGUUUUUAGCAUAAAAAUUUUAAUUUUUUUACUAUAAAGUUGCUUUAAGAAGCAGUAAGAAAUCCGUCCCAAACAAAACCUAAAUUAUAACAAUUUUUUUGUAAAUUUUAUCUACCGGGCAAUUUUAUGUGUGAAACGUAGUUCUCUUUUGGCUUGUAUUUAUUAAAAGGCAUGCUUACAAGCACAGUAGACAUUGCCGAUUUGUUUAUGUAUAUAGUGUGACAUUGAUUUAUGUAAUGUAAUCAUGUAAGAAAUAUUGCAUACAUUUCAAAAUUUAUAUCUUUUACAUCAUAAAGUUUGUUUGUUUAUUUUAAAA
Dendrobium catenatum is the source of this 562-nucleotide long non-coding RNA. RefSeq lists it as uncharacterized. The record is from RefSeq and is a predicted model, not a curated record. Lineage: Eukaryota; Viridiplantae; Streptophyta; Magnoliopsida; Asparagales; Orchidaceae. The transcript has 3 exons.